GAUGAACGCUGGCGGCGUGCCUAAUACAUGCAAGUCGAGCGAACGGACGAGGAGCUUGCUCCUCUGACGUUAGCGGCGGACGGGUGAGUAACACGUGGAUAACCUACCUAUAAGACUGGGAUAACUUCGGGAAACCGGAGCUAAUACCGGAUAAUAUAUUGAACCGCAUGGUUCAAUAGUGAAAGACGGUUUUGCUGUCACUUAUAGAUGGAUCCGCGCCGCAUUAGCUAGUUGGUAAGGUAACGGCUUACCAAGGCAACGAUGCGUAGCCGACCCGAGAGGGGGAUCGGCCACACUGGAACUGAGACACGGUCCAGACUCCUACGGGAGGCAGCAGUAGGGAAUCUUCCGCAAUGGGCGAAAGCCUGACGGAGCAACGCCGCGUGAGUGAUGAAGGUCUUCGGAUCGUAAAACUCUGUUAUUAGGGAAGAACAAAUGUGUAAGUAACUAUGCACGUCUUGACGGUACCUAAUCAGAAAGCCACGGCUAACUACGU
RNAcentral lists this ribosomal RNA (496 nucleotides) under uncultured bacterium. Its description in RNAcentral is "partial 16S ribosomal RNA". It matches the Rfam family "Bacterial small subunit ribosomal RNA", at positions 28 to 506 of the family's 1533-position model. The record is from RNAcentral.